GACGAACGCUGGCGGCGUGCUUAACACAUGCAAGUCGAACGGAAAGGCCUGCUUUCCCUUGUAGAUUGCGGGUACUCGAGUGGCGAACGGGUGAGUAACACGUGAGUGAUCUGCCCCCAACUUGGGUAUAAGCCUGGGAAACUGGGUCUAAUUCCCGAUAGGACUGCAGGGUGGUGCCUGUGGUGGAAAACGAUUUUCUAGUGGUUGGGGAUGAGCUCGCGGCCUAUCAGCUUGUUGGUGGGGUAAUGGCCUACCAAGGCGGCGACGGGUAGCCGGCCUGAGAGGGUGGACGGCCACAUUGGGACUGAGAUACGGCCCAGACUCCUACGGGAGGCAGCAGUGGGGAAUAUUGCACAACGGGCGGAAGCCUGAUGCAGCGACGCCGCGUGGGGAUGACGGCCUUCGGGUUGUAAACUCCUUUCGACCGCGAGGAAGCCACCUGGUUGGAAGGGUGGUGACGGUAGUGGUAGAAGAAGCACCGGCUAACUACGUG
Molecule: ribosomal RNA, 493 nt
Filed under: uncultured bacterium
Lineage: Bacteria
Description: partial 16S ribosomal RNA
Rfam family: Bacterial small subunit ribosomal RNA
Source: RNAcentral